UUCCGUCGUCGCUUCGUCCUCCGGUCGCCAAGACGAAGAGAUUCACCUCAUCCUCUCACCAUGCAGCCAUGACUUCUUCCUCCUCUCCAUCCAUCUGCUCAACGACAAGCUGAGAUCCGGUCUUCUUCCCUGCUAUAGUUGUACUUGACAGCUCAUCCGACGAGGAGGUUAAAGCAAGGAAAGUAUCCACUAGUAUGAAGGAUGUUGGAGACAAACACAACAUCAGUGUUGCUGGAAGAGAACGCCCGUAAGAUAAAGUCGGAUGAUGUGGGAUGGGAGUAUGGGAGUCUAGCCGAUCUUUCCAACAAGGACAAAGUGAAGUGUUUGUUUUGUAACCAUGUGAUCAUUGGAGGUGUUUAUCGUCACAAGCAGCAUGUGGCUCACGUUGAUAAUUUUGUGGCUAAAUGCAAGAAAAGCUCGCAGGAAGCUAAAGAUAGGUGCAAGAAAUCUCUUGAGGAGGCAUCUAAGAAGAGGAGGGAAAAGACUUCCCGUGAGCUAGAGCUCAGAGAAGGCGUGAAUAUUUCUCGUGUUGGAGAUGCUUAAGUUACUUGUAUUGGAAGCGCUGAGCCACACAAGAUAGGUCCCAUUGACAGUGGACACGUCCUAUUGA
Triticum dicoccoides is the source of this 610-nucleotide long non-coding RNA. RefSeq lists it as uncharacterized. The transcript has 3 exons. The record is from RefSeq and is a predicted model, not a curated record. Lineage: Eukaryota; Viridiplantae; Streptophyta; Magnoliopsida; Poales; Poaceae.